ACGGGGAGCAGCAGGCGCGAAAACUUUGCAAUGUGCGAAAGCACGACAAGGUUAAUCCGAGUGAUUUCUGCUAAAGAAAUCUUUUGUUAGUCCUAGAAACACUAACGAAUAAGGGGUGGGCAAGUUCUGGUGUCAGCCGCCGCGGUAAAACCAGCACCUCAAGUGGUCAGGAUGAUUAUUGGGCCUAAAGCAUCCGUAGCCGGCUCUGUAAGUCCUCGGUUAAAUCUGUACGCUUAACGUACAGGCUGCCGGGAAUACUGCAUAGCUAGGGAGUGGGAGAGGUAGACGGUACUCGGUAGGAAGGGGUAAAAUCCUUUGAUCUAUUGAUGACCACCUGUGGCGAAGGCGGUCUACCAGAACACGUCCGACGGUGAGGGAUGAAAGCUGGGGGAGCAAACCGGAUUAGAUACCCGGGUAGUCCCAGCUGUAAACUAUGCAAACUCAGUGAUGCAUUGGCUUGUGGCCAAUGCAGUGCUGCAGGGAAGCCGUUAAGUUUGCCGCCUGGGAAGUACGUACGCAAGUAUGAAACUUAAAGGAAUUGGCGGGGGAGCAC
Molecule: ribosomal RNA, 553 nt
Filed under: uncultured archaeon
Lineage: Archaea
Description: bacterial SSU rRNA
Rfam family: Archaeal small subunit ribosomal RNA
Source: RNAcentral